Molecule: unclassified non-coding RNA, 514 nt
Filed under: Abrotanella emarginata
Lineage: Eukaryota; Viridiplantae; Streptophyta; Magnoliopsida; Asterales; Asteraceae
Description: partial contains external transcribed spacer and 18S ribosomal RNA
Rfam family: Eukaryotic small subunit ribosomal RNA (bases 450-514)
Source: RNAcentral
CAACUUCCACCUGGCAUACCUCUUCAGUUAUACGCCAAGGCUUGUAUCGCCAUGAGCGUAUUGUGGGUUUUCUGUGUUGCAUACCUAAUCAAUGGUACUGAUUUGAUUGAUUGAUGUCCCUUUCGUCUUGGGCUGCACUUGUGGCCUGGGAUGAACUUUGAAGCGUCUCUUUGAUCCACUCAUCAGAUGCACAUGCUUUGAUUGUUUGGCUCAUUGGGUAUCGCUUGGUCUCUUGUAUAUGGAACUUGAUGUGGGCAUGGGGUCGCAUGAUCCUUUUUUGCCCUCCUUGAGCGUUGUCGCUUCUCUAAAACUGAUCCAUUCGUGCCUAGGCUGAAACCCUGUGCGGUGGUGUAUGUUUAGAGGAACGAGACCGUUUAAAGCUUUUCCAAAACGACUGUCCUCUGCGCCUAGGCUCGUACCUGCGUGGUGGUCAUGUCGAGGAGGAAUGCUACCUGGUUGAUCCUGCCAGUAGUCAUAUGCUUGUCUCAAAGAUUAAGCCAUGCAUGUGUAAGUA